UCCAGCUGGUCAAGGUCAAGGUUACAACAACCCCCAAGAGCACAGGAACUUCUCGCAAGGGCAGGGAGGAGGUUUUAGGACUGGUGGCCCUUCAGCACCUGGAUCUUAUGGCCAACCAUCAACACCUGGAUCUUAUGGCCAACCAUCAACACCUGGAUCUUAUGGCCAACCAUCAACACCUGGAAACUAUGGUCAGGCACCUCCAUCAGCGUAUCCCGGCGGUAACAGAGUUCCUGGUGUGAACCCUAGUUAUGAUGGGGACAGCAGAGAGGGGGCAGGACCGGCAUAUGGUGGAGAUAACU
Molecule: long non-coding RNA, 302 nt
Filed under: Setaria viridis
Lineage: Eukaryota; Viridiplantae; Streptophyta; Magnoliopsida; Poales; Poaceae
Description: long non-coding RNA (SVIR_LNC009055)
Source: RNAcentral